UACAGAGGUGGCAAGCGUUGUUCGGAAUUACUGGGCGUAAAGGGCGCGUAGGCGGUUCGUUAAGUCCUGUGUGAAAGCCCCCGGCUCAACUGGGGAGGGUCAUUCGAUACUGUUCGACUCGAAGGCAGGAGAGGGAAGUGGAAUUCCCGGUGUAGUGGUGAAAUGCGUAGAUAUCGGGAGGAACACCAGUGGCGAAGGCGACUACCUGGCCUGUUCUUGACGCUGAGGCGCGAAAGCUAGGGGAGCAAACGGG
This 253-nucleotide ribosomal RNA is filed under the name uncultured bacterium. Its description in RNAcentral is "partial 16S ribosomal RNA". It matches the Rfam family "Bacterial small subunit ribosomal RNA", at positions 524 to 776 of the family's 1533-position model. The record is from RNAcentral.